AAUCAACACAGUGGAGGCGAGAAGUCUGGCCUUGCGCCGGCCGGGGAGCUUUUCGCCAAGGCUCCUGUGGGAUGGGAUAGCUUGUUCUCUGGGCUGCAGGAACCAAAACAUUAGACCACCCUUUCUGUGACCUUGGGCAUGCCGCCCUCGGUUCCGAGCCGCAAGUCUUUCUUUCGGGGAAAAUGAAAAGGGGUCAAGAUUUGGACCAGAUGACACCCAAUGUCCCAUUCAACGGUCGCAUUCUGUCAUCCACAGGAAUUAGUCCUGUAUCCGAAACAUUCUCUGGUAGUCAAAAGCUGUGAGCAAAUAAUAAGAAAAAAUGUGCAAAACGUUUUUUAGUACAGUUAGCAAAUAGUGUACUCAGUUGUUGAAGGAAAUGGGAUGAAGCCUAUCAGAUUUCAACAAACUUAUUUACCUCUUGAGAAAGCUGCUCUCUUUUCGGUUGUCCUUCUGUGUCUCUCUUUCAAAGAUCAAGUCUCACUGCGAUGCUGAUAUGUUUUUAACACUUCUCCAGCAUUUCUUAACCUAACAGCAGGUUUCAGGCACAGGCCUGCAGCAAGCAGCCAUAUCCAACUAAAAUUCCACUACUAUAUGUUUUUAUUUGCAUUACAUUUAUCAGGGAGCUUUCUAUUUAUGGCAAGGAAACUGAUUUUAAAUUUAAAUCAGUGAUAUACAUCAAGAGCUAGAUUUUGCAUUUUUAAGUGAAAAAGUAAGCUAUCAAAUAGAACAGGUGGAAUUUGGAUAUGGUGGGGCGGAGGGGUAGGCAGAGCAGGGGAGAGGAACAUCGUGAUAGUGGUACUCAAAUUACUAAGUUUUAGAAAACACUAUCACGGGGCCUUUCAGGAGCCUGGAGACAGAUGGAGGGGAAGACAGAAGAGAGAUUAAGGAGAAGAAUGGUUUCAUUUGGAAGGACACUGACUAAGGAAAAACAGAGAAAAGGAUGAAACCCAAGCCAACUCUGCAACUCUAUUAAAAACACCAAGACUUCAAUAUAAUCUCCUUAAAGGGAGGCAGUGCAUUCUUCAUGGCUAGAGCUUCAGCAGCUAUCUAGAACCAUAUGGUGGAAGCCACUUACUGAGAACUGUGAAACAAGAGCCUGGGUCCCUGACAUAUGAAGCCACCAUACCUACCUUAAAGUGUCUUUCACUUGAGGGAAAAAUACAUCUUUCUUAGAGAUUUGAAUUUUAAUGUCCCAGAAAUAUAAAGAAGAUGGCAUUAAAAUGUCCUAUAUGUUGGCAGUCCUACCCUGAAGACUUUUUUUGCUUAUCUUUUGUUCUGAGCUACAGUCUUCGCAGAGACUAAAUUAGUGACUGGACAACAGAAGAAAAUAGACCAUCCUGGCUAAAAUGGUGAAACCCCAUCUCUACUAAAAACACAAAAAAUUAGCUGGGCAUGUUAGCGGGUGCCUGUAGUCCCAGCUACUCGGGAGGCUGAGGCAAGAAAAUGGCGUGAACCUGGGAGGCGGAGCUUGCAGUGAGCUGAGAUCGCGCCACUGCACUCCAGCAUGGGGGAUAGAGCGAGACUCCGUCUCAAAAAAAAAAAAAAAAAAAAAAAAAAGAAAAUAGAAACGGGAAAUAUUCAUGUCAGCUGUUAAAAACCAGUUUUGUAAAGCAAGGCCUAAAAGUCCUAUCUCUGGCAUGUUUAGUAUUUGGCCAACUGGUUAGGUCUAGC
This 1671-nucleotide long non-coding RNA is filed under the name Homo sapiens (human). Its description in RNAcentral is "non-protein coding lnc-LXN-1:7". Lineage: Eukaryota; Metazoa; Chordata; Mammalia; Primates; Hominidae. The record is from RNAcentral.